AACGCUAGCUACAGGCUUAACACAUGCAAGUCGAGGGGCAGCAUGGUCUUAGCUUGCUAAGGCCGAUGGCGACCGGCGCACGGGUGAGUAACACGUAUCCAACCUGCCGUCUACUCUUGGACAGCCUUCUGAAAGGAAGAUUAAUACAAGAUGGCAUCAUGAGUCCGCAUGUUCACAUGAUUAAAGGUAUUCCGGUAGACGAUGGGGAUGCGUUCCAUUAGAUAGUAGGCGGGGUAACGGCCCACCUAGUCUUCGAUGGAUAGGGGUUCUGAGAGGAAGGUCCCCCACAUUGGAACUGAGACACGGUCCAAACUCCUACGGGAGGCAGCAGUGAGGAAUAUUGGUCAAUGGGCGAGAGCCUGAACCAGCCAAGUAGCGUGAAGGAUGACUGCCCUAUGGGUUGUAAACUUCUUUUAUAAAGGAAUAAAGUCGGGUAUGCAUACCCGUUUGCAUGUACUUUAUGAAUAAGGAUCGGCUAACUCCGUGCCAGCAGCCGCGGUAAUACGGAGGAUCCGAGCGUUAUCCGGAUUUAUUGGGUUUAAAGGGAGCGUAGAUGGAUGUUUAAGUCAGUUGUGAAAGUUUGCGGCUCAACCGUAAAAUUGCAGUUGAUACUGGAUAUCUUGAGUGCAGUUGAGGCAGGCGGAAUUCGUGGUGUAGCGGUGAAAUGCUUAGAUAUCACGAAGAACUCCGAUUGCGAAGGCAGCCUGCUAAGCUGCAACUGACAUUGAGGCUCGAAAGUGUGGGUAUCAAACAGGAUUAGAUACCCUGGUAGUCCACACGGUAAACGAUGAAUACUCGCUGUUUGCGAUAUACGGCAAGCGGCCAAGCGAAAGCGUUAAGUAUUCCACCUGGGGAGUACGCCGGCAACGGUGAAACUCAAAGGAAUUGACGGGGGCCCGCACAAGCGGAGGAACAUGUGGUUUAAUUCGAUGAUACGCGAGGAACCUUACCCGGGCUUAAAUUGCAGAUGAAUUACGGUGAAAGCCGUAAGCCGCAAGGCAUCUGUGAAGGUGCUGCAUGGUUGUCGUCAGCUCGUGCCGUGAGGUGUCGGCUUAAGUGCCAUAACGAGCGCAACCCUUGUUGUCAGUUACUAACAGGUUCCGCUGAGGACUCUGACAAGACUGCCAUCGUAAGAUGUGAGGAAGGUGGGGAUGACGUCAAAUCAGCACGGCCCUUACGUCCGGGGCUACACACGUGUUACAAUGGGGGGUACAGAGGGCCGCUACCACGCGAGUGGAUGCCAAUCCCCAAAACCUCUCUCAGUUCGGACUGGAGUCUGCAACCCGACUCCACGAAGCUGGAUUCGCUAGUAAUCGCGCAUCAGCCACGGCGCGGUGAAUACGUUCCCGGGCCUUGUACACACCGCCCGUCAAGCCAUGGGAGCCGGGGGUACCUGAAGUGCGUAACCGCGAGGAGCGCCCUAGGGUAAAACUGAU
Molecule: ribosomal RNA, 1436 nt
Filed under: uncultured organism
Description: SSU rRNA
Rfam family: Bacterial small subunit ribosomal RNA
Source: RNAcentral